This is a long non-coding RNA of Varroa destructor (honeybee mite), 499 nucleotides long. RefSeq lists it as uncharacterized. The record is from RefSeq and is a predicted model, not a curated record. Lineage: Eukaryota; Metazoa; Arthropoda; Arachnida; Mesostigmata; Varroidae.
CUCGCAGUUCAACUACCACAGAAUGGUUUUUUACCGUAGGUGCGACUAUCGAGGACGAACAGUAGCGUCGUUUUUGAGUCAGGAGCAAGAUUUGGGGAUCAAUACCGAAAACUCCUCCAUUAUUUGCAUAUUUUGCAAUUAACAUGCAAAUCACAGGCAUACGACCGUUGAUUACCCAUGUGAACCAGUUGAACGACUGAUCAUUCACAGUAAGAUUGCCUCUAUGCUAACUCCUUAGCGACAGAGGAAACGAUAAUACUUUUAAACAACUUCAAGUAACAAUGUUAUUCCGCGGAUCAGAUAUGCGCUUACCUAUGCUCGUCUGGGCCCUUAGACCCAGAUCGGCAUUGGUCUACCAGCGGGAGGUGAGCCUGAACACAGCUACUGGAUGUCGCCUAUGCCUAGGCAUUCACUAAAAAGAUCGCUCACUGAGGGAAAAAAUCGGAUCUGCUCUGUCAGCCACUUCAAAGGCUCCGUCUGGAGACCCGCAAAGCUCUUG